Molecule: long non-coding RNA, 721 nt
Organism: Cynoglossus semilaevis (tongue sole)
Lineage: Eukaryota; Metazoa; Chordata; Actinopteri; Pleuronectiformes; Cynoglossidae
Exons: 3
Source: RefSeq, a predicted model, not a curated record
AACAGACUUUCUGUGAAAUAAGACAAAUAAAAGACAAGUGUUAAAGAGUUUUGUGUCAAAGUAGCGUUCCUUCCUCUGACCCCUAACCUGCUGCAUGUGACUUUCAGCAGCCAAUCAGAGCCACUCUUGUGUCUUCUUCUCCAUCCUCAGGCAGCCCACCAGGCCGUUGAUGACCUGGAUGACGCAGAGCACCACCUGCAGGCAGCUGGCCGCCAUCAGGGUGAUGAACAGACCCAUGUUGAACUGCACCACGUUCUUGGGUUCCAGGCACUCGGUCCACCAGCUGCUCUUGGUCAUGUAGUUCGGGUCCCUGUGACAGAACGUCUGAUGAGAACUGAGUUGUGUCUGUGAGUCGUCGUGGCUCACAGACACGUCUCUUACCUGUCUGCGAACGGUCUCGUCCAUUUGUCUCCAUCGUUGCAGAGCGGCCCGUUAUGCAGACCAAUCAGUGCCACAAUGAAACAGUAGGCGGCGCCGACUGCACCCACCCCGGCGAAUAUAAUGGAUACUAACAUCUGUAGAUAUUCAACAGGAAGUGAAAAUCAGACAGGAGAGCUGGAGCCAAUCACAGCAGCCUGGAGGCGGAGCUAUACCUCUACAGACAGUUGCAGACAAGCAUUCACGCUCACAUUCACACCUAAGGUGAAUUCACAUUCAUAGUGAACUAUAAACCAAAUACUGCUAGUGUUUUGGGCUGUGAUAAAACUGCAGUAUUUGUAAA